AAUGUUGAAAGUUAAGGAUUGACAUGAGAUAUGUGCAUUGAAGAUUCACUGGAUUAGUAAGACUGAAAGAUGAUUUGAUCAGUUUUUGUUCUGUUUUGAUGGUCUUUUGUUAAAUUUCAGUUAGAAUAUAUCCAUUCUGAUUUUGGAAUUUCGAUUCAAAUUCUUUUCAUUUUGAAUGAUGGACAUCAAUUUGGUUUGUACGAAAUGAAUAUAAUUAUUCAUCAACAGCCUAAGAGGUUGGAUGCACCUCAAUGGUUGUUCAUAUUCUUUGAUGCUUAACAUUCCUUUGUUGAUUUAUAUUUUUUGAACCACUAAUUGAAAACAAAUUCAACAUGGUUAUAUCAACAAGUAUUACAUGCACCUGGGGAUCUCAUUUUAUGCAUAGAAAGUUCAUCUUUGAACAAUGAUAUAACCAACUAAUAUGUUAAAGAAUUCGACAGUAAAAAUCAAAUAUAGUGGCAAAAAUUAUCGGGAAAGGAAUUGGCGUUUCAUAACACAGAAAGCAUCUCAAUUUUCUUGUAAGAUUUGUCGUUUAUAGAGAUGAUCUUGGAACAGGCAAAAGAAAAGUAUUGCUAAAAGCAACGAGACAAGGAAAUUUUUAUUCAUGCUCACUCAAUGGAUGAAGAAACAUAAACAAAUGUUAAUAUAAGAAAAGUAAAUUAAAGAACUGUGUAUUUAUGAAGUAGUAAUGCCUGUCUAUAGCAUGAUAAUGAGAAUUGAAAUUGCAGUUAUGUACAAUGUAGAUUGAAGAAGGGCAUGCAUUCAUCAAAAUAUUAACAUUAUCUAGAGAAUGAGAAUGUUAAUGAGUAUGGAAGAAGCCUUUAAUGAACACGUGUUGUACGGACAAAAGAAAACCAAGAGCAAUAGUUUAACCUAGAGCAGGAAUAUCACCUGUGUAAGAGGGUAAAUCAGCUCCAUUUUGUAGCUUUGAUGGAAAGGGUGGAGCAGGAGGGGAAUGGCGCUUCAAUUGAUUACAAGUUUGAGUGAUCAUUUUCUGAUGACAUUUGUGAAAAAUAUUCAAACCGCGAAAAGUUGGAACUACUUUUCCAGUGCUUCAACUAAAGUUCAAUGCAUUCAUAAGAGAUUGAAAAGUUACGAUACCAAUUUAAGGUUCUAUUUAGCCAAUUUAUUUUGAUUCAACAUACGAAAUUAUACAAUUAAAAACAACAAGUCACUUUUAAAUUGUUUCUAAAUGGUUAAACAUACAAUAUACGUUGAACCGUCACAAUUUGUAAUAUGAAAGCAAUAAAUAACACCAGAAUUGAUAACGGAAAAAUCCAACUAGGUAAAAACUUCAGGACCAAUCCAGUAACCUCCACUAUAGACAAUGAUGAAUUUACAGCACAAUUCAAUCUAGAAAAAAUUUCACUAGGCUCGUUGAUCUACUUUCUGCAAUCUCCAAGACCCGCUAGAACGUGCUUCACUCACACUUAUCUCCAAUCUUCUAGAAUUGUUUGUUUCAUGUGGAUCACCAAAAAGAGCUUGUUUUUGUAUUAUUCCUAUGCUUCUGGUCCAACCCCCCUCAAUAUCUUUAGCAACCUCUAAAAGCUAUUGAGAACGUACCUUCCUGUAUGUGUAUAGAAAGUGGGUGUUUUAGAUUAUAUGAACUUGAUGUUUUUCCCAAAGUUGUGGUUGUAUGAACUCAAGAAUCAAAGGAUCAAUGUAAAGCUUGAUUGUGUACUUGAAUCUUUGAAUGAUGUUAUGAAGUACAAAUACAAUGAACAACCACACAAAAAAAAAUUAAAAAAAUGUCAUGGAUACAAAAUGAGUUAGAAAGUGAUGGAAAACUGUAUAUAUUCAGAUGAACGGCAAGUAAUAUCAAGAAAAAAAGAAAGAAAGAAGACCAGCACUAAGACUGAUUUGCCACAACUUCACUAAAACAUUCUCUACCCUUUCCCCCUAGCUUGUUUAUUUAUGGCUCUACCCGUAACUAGCUUUAAUAGAAUAGCUAACAACCCUUAACAAAUUGAGUGACUCAUCAUAAUUCUGGAAACUACUAGUGCCCUGCUGUUAUGUGGUUGAUUCUCCCAUGUGCCUUCUUGCAUUCGCUGUAUGUGAAUUUAAUUGGGGGUUUAUCAAAUAUCCCCAAUGCAAUCACCUGGUCCGCAAGGUGCAGAUAAGGAAAAUGUUGGUUGAUUAAGUCGAAAGGCUCCCAAGUGGCUUCCAUUGGUGAAAGUCCCUUCCAUUGAAUCAGUAUUUCCAUCAUGUUAGUCGUACCCUGAUUUUGAGGUCUGAAUCCCAAAACUUAUUCUGGCUCUGCAAGCAAUUCCCAAUCUUCGUCUAGUUGAAUGGGUGGUGGUGAGGCUAUAUGAGUAUCUCCCAAAAUUUUUCUUAACUAUGAAACAUGAAAAACUGGAUGGAUACGAGUGGUAACUGGCAAUGAAAGGCGAUAAGCCACUUUACCUACCCUUGUCGUCACCUGGAAAGGCCUGCAGUAUCAUGGCACCAACUUUUCAUUUGAGCAUGUCACCAAGGAUUUGUGUAUGUAUGGUCUUAUAAACCCAGUUGCCUACUGCAUAUUCAAACUCCCUUCUAUUUGGAUUAGCCGCUUCUUUCAUUUGCUGUUAUGCCUUGUGUAAAUGUAUUUUUAGCUCUUUCAAGAUUUUAUCUUGCUCCAAUAGUUGUUUUUUCAAUGAUAAGAUAGUUGUAGACCUUGCUUAAAAUGAAUUAGUUGCAGAGGGUUGUGCCCAUAUAAGAUACAGAAGCUGGUGAGUUGUGCAGAGACAUGAUAGGAAGUAUUAUAGGCCUAUUCAGCCCACGAUAGAAUAUGGUACCACUGCUUAGGUUUAACUGGUGCAAAACAUCUCAGGUAUGUCUCUACUUCCCUGUUUAGCACCUCGGACAACCUAUAUAUAUGAUUGUGGAUGGUAUGCUGAACUGUAUUUUAAGGUCAUCCCGUAUAAUCUGAAGAGUUCACUCCAAAAGUGGCUCAAAAACACCUUAGCUCUAUCAGAGACUAUGGAACGAGGCAGCCCAUGCAACUUAACCACAUCCCUUGUAAAAAUUACAGCAAUAGAUGGGGCUGAGAAUGGGUACUUCAGGCUGAUAAAAUGUGUGUACUUACUCAGGCGAUCCACCACUACUAAGAUAGAGUCAAACCCUUCUGAACGAGGUAACCUUUCUAUAAAAUCCAUCAAGACAUCUUCCCAAACCUGGUCGAGAAUGGGCAACAGUUGGAGCAAACCAGCAGGCGCAAGACUAGAAUAUUUGUGUUGCUGACAGAUUGUACAUUAAGCCACAUACUUUUGAAUGUCAUUCCUCAUAGCCUUCCAAAAAAAGGUUUUAGCCACUCUUUUAUAAUUUUUGAGAAAGUCCCCAUGUCGUUCCACCUUGCUGUCAUGCCCUUCCUACGAGGCAAUUUGCACAAAUGGAAAAUCCUUGGGAAUCACCAGCCCUCCACAGUACAAUAGGAGAUCACGAAGCUAUGAAUAUCCUGGUGGAACUACCUGUCCAUUACGCAAUGAGCUAGUUAAAGUGCCCGACUUGGUAUCCUCUUCUACCGCCCUCUUUAGUGCUAUUAGUUCCAUAGCACUUGGGACACUUAAGGUCAUUAUAGUCGCAGUUACAUCAAUUCUGGAGAGUGCAUCAGCUGCUCCAUUUUCGCGACCAGCUUUGUACUCAAUGUCAAAGUCGAAUCCCAAUAGUUUUGUCAGCCAUUUUUGAUAUUGUUGAUUUAUUUCUCGCUGUUCCAAUAAGAAUUUAAGGCUACGUUUGUAGGUUCAGACAACACACCUUCGACCUAAAAAAUAGUGCUUCCAUGUUUGUAUUGCCAAGACAAUAGCCAUGAGCUCCCUUUAGUAUAUCAACUUUUCUCGCGCCCACGGUGGAAGCACCUGACUGAAGUAUGCGAUUAGUUUCCUAUGUUGCAUCAGAACCAUCCCUCGAGGCAUCAAUUUCUACUGACUGGCUGCAUAAAAUUAGGCAACCCUAAAAUCGGCACCGUCGUCAUGGCAUAUUUCAGCUUUACGAAAGCAGCCUUUGCUUCUUCGUUCUACCUAAAGUUGUCUAUUUUUAACAGCUGCGUUAACAACCAAGAAAUGCUCACAUAUGAUUUAACGAAUCGGCGAUAAUACCCAGUCAGUCCCAAAAAUCCAUUGAAGUCCUUGAUCAAUUUUGGUUUGGGCCAAUUUCUCAUUGCUGCUAUCUUCAACUCAUCAGCCGAGACAUCCUUUGCUGAUAUGAUAUGCCCCAAGUAUUCCAAUUCUCGGUGGCCGAACAAAUAAUUCUUUUCGUUGGCGUAUAACUGGUUAUCUACUAGCACCCGUAGUACAACCCUUAAAUGAUUCCUGUGCUCCUCUAUCGUGCAGCUAUAUAAGAGAAUAUCAUCAAAAAACAUCAAGACGAACUUCCAGAGAUAGCCUCUAAUAAUUUCAUUCACAAGUGACUGGAAAGUUGCUGGGGCGUUUGUUAAACCGAAGGGUAUGACAAGAAACUCAUAAUGUCCUUCAUGAUUUUGGAAGGCUAUUUUCGAAAAUUCUUCAGAGUGCACCUUUAUUUGAUGAUACCCGGACUUCAAGUCAAUUUUAAAAAUAUCGUAAUGCCAUUGAGCUCAUCUAAUAGUUCAUCUAUUAAUGGAAUUGGGAAAUUGUUCAGGACUGUGACUUUGUUCAAGACCCGAUAAUCAACACAAAAUCUCAAACUUUUUCUUUAUUAAAAAUACCGGACUUGAAAAAUGGCUAGUGCUCUACUAAAUAAAUCCUGUUGCAAUCAUUUUUCGGACCAAUCUCUCUAUCUCGUUCUUUUUGAAGUAGAGAUAGUGGUAUGGUUAGGGGCGGAGCCCCAUUAGGCCCAGCCCGCACUGAACUUUUGGGCUCCAUUAGGCCCAAAAUUUUUUUUUUUUUUGUUAAAGCCCUAUUAAGCAAUUUUGCCCAAGCCCCAGCCCAUUUGCCUCAGCCCAUUACCCGUAGCCACUACCUAGACCCGAUUUCAUUCCAAAUUUCCAAUCAAACCGUAUUCAUUCAAAUCAAAAAUCAAAAAAAACCAAACCCUUCUCCCUUCUUCGCCUCUAUCUCUACCGUCGAGUGUCGACCGGCCGCCAAAUCGCCGACCUUGCUCCACAGCCUGCACUCCAACUCGCCAGACGCCGGCUUCUAGACUGUAGUUCCCGUCCAGUCCACCGCCAAGUGCCAAGUGCCAACUGCCGCGACCGCGAAGAAGAAGUCCGAAACUGGAGAAGCCCGAUUUCCCGAAGCUGCCGGAGCCCAAAAGAACGAAGAAGCUGUACAAUAAAAAGAUAAAGGCGAUUACUGGCGAAGCCCAACCUGCUGCCGUGCUGCGAAGUAAGUUUGGAGUUUAAUGUGGAUUUUCAGUUCCUUGAUCAGUUGAUUGAAGUUUAAUGUGGAUUUUCACUAUCUAUAUGAUAUGACUAUAUUUGUCAAUUGUCAUUACUUUCUUUCUGCUGAUUUUUGAUUGUGAGAAUUGAGAAAUGAUUUUGUAUUAUCCGCCCCUGGUUGAGACUUGAGAGGUUAUGGCCGGUUUUCAUUAUUUCAUACUUCAGAGCUCUGUUUUAAUCUUGAUGGGGGUAGAAUCGGUAGAAAUAGAAUGGUAGAUUGCUUGGUUUGGUAUUGGUAAAAUCAAAAUGAAGCACUAGCUUAUGGGAAAUGAAACAAUGAAUACAAUUUGUGGCUUUAAUUACUUGCAAUGUACAAUAUGUGCAAGUGUGCAACUGAAAGAUGUUUAUAUGUAUGCAGUAUGCUGAUGGUCAACUGAAAUUGUGAAUUGGAUUGUGAAAUAGUGUAAAAUGUAAAUUGCAUUGUGAAAUUGCGAAUUGGAAAGUACUCAUGCAAUGUUUAUAAUGGACAGAUAUGUACAAUUCCAUUGGAUACUGCAAGGUUAGGCUUCACUUUCUCGUACCCAUUCCCUUGAAACUUCCACUUUCUCAGAGCCUCAAAUUGAACUGAUGCAAAUGGGAAAAGGCUGUGAUGAAAGGGUUUGAUUGCUCUACCAGAUCUUAAUUUUCGGUUUCAUUUUUUCAUACUUCUUUUCUUUCAUACAAUAGAGGUAUAUGAUUGGAAAGGUAUCUUGAAGUGAUAAUUAUAAUUAUCGGGGAACUUAAAUGCUUUUUUGUCAACUGUUUUUGUUUGCUUGCUGAUAUAUCUACUAACCAUCUUAAUAUGUGAAAGAUAUAUGGAAGCAAAUUAUGUCAUUUAGAUUAUAAGGUAUCAAUUCAUUUUAUUUGUAAUUCAUGUAACACAAAGGUAUGUACAAAACUUCGAAUUGCUAAGGAUGCUUUUGAUCUUGUUUCUGGUUUUGUAACCAUUGGUGAGGGUUAAUCGUUGUGCUUGAUGUGUAGAUAAAAAAAAAAAAAAAAAAAAAGCUCAUGGUAGUAGUUCACAUGAUUGUGGUGGUGGUUCUGCAUCACUUGGGAGUAGGUUCUUUGAUCAUUUUCAUGGAAGUUUCAAUUGAUGUACCUCAUUUCCUUUUGUCUGUAGAAGUUAGAGCCUCCAAUAGUCUGAUUAAAUAUUUCUGUAACAUUCUUUAUUUUGUUUCAAACUCUAAGAUUAAGGAAUU
RNAcentral lists this long non-coding RNA (6510 nucleotides) under Olea europaea (common olive). RNAcentral's name for it is "long non-coding RNA (OEUR_LNC000211)". The record is from RNAcentral. Lineage: Eukaryota; Viridiplantae; Streptophyta; Magnoliopsida; Lamiales; Oleaceae.